RNAcentral lists this ribosomal RNA (387 nucleotides) under uncultured bacterium. RNAcentral describes it as "bacterial SSU rRNA". It matches the Rfam family "Bacterial small subunit ribosomal RNA", at positions 30 to 416 of the family's 1533-position model. The record is from RNAcentral.
AUUGAACGCUGGCGGCAUGCCUUACACAUGCAAGUCGAACGGCAGCACGGGGGCAACCCUGGUGGCGAGUGGCGAACGGGUGAGUAAUGCAUCGGAAUGUACCCAGUAGUGGGGGGAUAACUAGUCGAAAGACUGGCUAAUACCGCAUACGCACUAUGGUGGAAAGCGGGGGAUCGCAAGACCUCGCGCUAUUGGAGCAGCCGAUGUCCGAUUAGGUAGUUGGUGGGGUAAAGGCCUACCAAGCCUGCGAUCGGUAACUGGUCUGAGAGGACGACCAGUCACACUGGGACUGAGACACGGCCCAGACUCCUACGGGAGGCAGCAGUGGGGAAUUUUGGACAAUGGGCGCAAGCCUGAUCCAGCAAUGCCGCGUGUGUGAAGAAGGCC